This 228-nucleotide ribosomal RNA is filed under the name uncultured bacterium. Its description in RNAcentral is "partial 16S ribosomal RNA". It matches the Rfam family "Bacterial small subunit ribosomal RNA", at positions 942 to 1167 of the family's 1533-position model. The record is from RNAcentral.
UGGUUUAAUUCGAAGCAAACGCGAAAGAACCUUACCAAAUCUUGACAUCCUUUGACAACUCUAGAGAUAGAGCUUUCCCCUUCGGGGGACAAAGUGACAGGUGGUGCAUGGUUGUCGUCAGCUCGUGUCGUGAGAUGUUGGGUUAAGUCCCGCAACGAGCGCAACCCUUAAGCUUAGUUGCCAUCAUUAAGUUGGGCACUCUAAGUUGACUGCCGGUGACAAACCGGA